Molecule: ribosomal RNA, 396 nt
Filed under: uncultured bacterium
Lineage: Bacteria
Description: partial 16S ribosomal RNA
Rfam family: Bacterial small subunit ribosomal RNA
Source: RNAcentral
AUACGUAGGGAGCGAGCGUUGUCCGGAAUUACUGGGUGUAAAGGGUGCGUAGGCGGGACUGCAAGUCAGAUGUGAAAUACAUGGGCUCAACCCAUGGGCUGCAUUUGAAACUGCAUUUCUUGAGUGAAGUAGAGGUAAGCGGAAUUCCUGGUGUAGCGGUGAAAUGCGUAGAUAUCAGGAGGAACACCGGUGGCGAAGGCGGCUUACUGGGCUUUUACUGACGCUGAGGCUCGAAAGCGUGGGGAGCAAACAGGAUUAGAUACCCUGGUAGUCCACGCUGUAAACGAUGAUUACUAGGUGUGGGGGGACUGACCCCUUCCGUGCCGCAGUUAACACAAUAAGUAAUCCACCUGGGGAGUACGGCCGCAAGGUUGAAACUCAAAUGAAUUGGCGGGG